AUCGACGAUCACGACUACGACGUGAAGAUGCGCAACGUGCAGCGCUUCAUCGGCGAUGGCGACAAGGUGAAGGUCACCCUGCGCUUCCGUGGCCGCGAACUGUCGCACCAGCAGCUGGGCAUGGACCUGCUGCGCCGCGUGCAGGCCGAUGUGGAAGAGAUCGCGAAGAUCGAAGCCUAUCCGCGCAUGGAAGGCCGCCAGAUGCUGAUGGUGCUGGCGCCCAAGUAAGCGCUGACCGGCAUUGCCAAAGAAAAAGGGCGUACCCGCCGGGUGCGCCCUUUGUCUUUGCUGGCAAAAGCGUGUGCCGUCAGUCCUUGGGCA
This 321-nucleotide unclassified non-coding RNA is filed under the name Novosphingobium mathurense. RNAcentral describes it as "Long range pseudoknot". Lineage: Bacteria; Pseudomonadati; Pseudomonadota; Alphaproteobacteria; Sphingomonadales; Sphingomonadaceae. The record is from RNAcentral.